GGACACUUUUUAUGGGAUCCAUGGCCCCAGGUAGUCAGGGAAUUUAACCCUAACAUAAGGCCCCCACCAUCCCUAGGAUGGGGGAAGUGCCAUAUGAUCCGCAGCCCUUUGGCCACAUGGUGUAACUUUAUUUUUUGUUUUUCCAGUCACUUUUUCCACAAUGUGACUUAAUCGUUAGGAUAAGUAAUAUUUCCUCCAUCUUUUGAUGACAUUUCCUCUGAAAUAUGCUGCAGUUAAUAGAACUUUUAUCAGUUCGCGCUCCUUCACCUGAAAAGAAAUUAAAGCUUCUGAAAGAAAUAGCUGAGGAGCAUGGGUUAGAUUGGGAUCCAACCGCCUCUGAAGUGGAGUUUUUCAAACCUCAGGAUGAUUUGUUGAAUGGUCAACACAGUUUGAUAUAGAAUCUAAAUUGCCCCUACCAAGAGAAAAACAUGAUGAAACAUUGUUUUCUGCUCUGAACAACCCACAAAGAACAGCCAGAUUCUGAUCCUGGCGUUGAUUCAUUUGAUCUUCCUGAAGUUCCUGAAGUAUCACCAUGGCCAAAUGCAAAUUUUGCUUCAGCACCAGUGAUGGUCUCAUCUCUACAAGCUGUUCCACACCCUAAUAUUGAUCAUGAGUCAUCAAAGCAUUCUAGGGUCAUUGAAAAUCCACCAGAGGAGCCACAGUUGGAACCUGAGAAAAUGGUGCAAGAAAGAUCUGCUGCUAUUAAAAAUGAAACAACCUAGUGUUCCAGUUGGUGGUGUGCAAGAUAUACAAUUCGUGCCUUUUAUUUCUCCUCCAUCGCUAUCUUCUGCAUCAUUUUCUGCGGCACCAAGUAAAUCAGAAACCUCUCCUCAAGAUCAAAAAGUGAGGCUCAUGUGGAUUUGCAGGAUGUCGUAACUGCUGCUCGGGCUGCUGUAGAAACUGCUGAACGUGCAGCUGCUGCAGCUCGCUCUGCAGCUAGUCUUGCACAGCUCAGAAUUAAUGAGCUCACUAGGAAAAAUAGUGAUCAAUUCCCUGAAAAUAGCUCCGAGAAUCCAUUUUACAAGGAUAUGGCUAACCAGUCAGCUACUGAAGAAAAUCCACAUUUUGAUCAUCGAAACUUGGUUGGCAAUGCAGAUGAUGUUAUAGAUUCUCCAGAACCUAAUCAAGGCCUAGAAGACUGCCAGAGAACAGAGGCCUCAAGUCUUCCUGCAUUUGGCACGCCCAAAAUGGAUUUUGAUUCCUCUCUUCCCAUUGAUCAGGGGGGUCGUGGAAAUGAACUUGCUCCUCACCUGCCCAGAGAUUGACUUCAAUGGAUGAAGAUCCAUACUUCUCAUACCCAAAUUUGUUUACAUCGCAGAAUCCUGCUGCACAUUCUUCCACAGACAAUUCCCGAUUCUCCAAUGAGCUCUAAGUUGAAUUUUAUAUACCUAUAGGCAUUUGCUCAGCUUUGUUGCAACGUCGUACUGGAGAGUCAAUGUUACAUAUUGCGUUAUGGUUUUUAUUCUAUUAUUUAUUUAUUGUAAAAAGUGCAGUUAUUAGGUAUUAGAAGUGUGUAAUUUGCUUCAAAUCCCUUUAUCCAUGAACGAGUAGCAUCAACAGUAAUAAACUCUGCUUUUGUAGUUGAGAAGCCAUUCUUGAUGGCUGAUGCUACAGUUUGUUGAGUGUACAAACAUGUAUUGCUUUUUUUUUGUUUAUGUGAACAAGCAUUUAUUGCCA
Molecule: long non-coding RNA, 1677 nt
Organism: Juglans microcarpa x Juglans regia
Lineage: Eukaryota; Viridiplantae; Streptophyta; Magnoliopsida; Fagales; Juglandaceae
Exons: 2
Source: RefSeq, a predicted model, not a curated record